This 492-nucleotide ribosomal RNA is filed under the name uncultured bacterium. RNAcentral's name for it is "partial 16S ribosomal RNA". It matches the Rfam family "Bacterial small subunit ribosomal RNA", at positions 29 to 507 of the family's 1533-position model. The record is from RNAcentral.
AGUGAACGCUGGCGGUAGGCCUAACACAUGCAAGUCGAACGGCAGCACAGUAAGAGCUUGCUCUUACGGGUGGCGAGUGGCGGACGGGUGAGGAAUACAUCGGAAUCUACUUUUUCGUGGGGGAUAACGUAGGGAAACUUACGCUAAUACCGCAUACGACCUACGGGUGAAAGCAGGGGAUCUUCGGACCUUGCGCGAUUGAAUGAGCCGAGGUCGGAUUAGCUAGUUGGCGGGGUAAAGGCCCACCAAGGCGACGAUCCGUAGCUGGUCUGAGAGGAUGAUCAGCCACACUGGAACUGAGACACGGUCCAGACUCCUACGGGAGGCAGCAGUGGGGAAUAUUGGACAAUGGGCGCAAGCCUGAUCCAGCCAUACCGCGUGGGUGAAGAAGGCCUUCGGGUGGUAAAGCCCUUUUGUUGGGAAAGAAAAGCAGCAGGUUAAUACCCCGCUGUUCUGACGGUACCCAAAGAAUAAGCACCGGCUAACUUCGUG